RNAcentral lists this long non-coding RNA (1935 nucleotides) under Anser brachyrhynchus (Pink-footed goose). RNAcentral's name for it is "lncRNA (ENSABRG00000021951.1)". Lineage: Eukaryota; Metazoa; Chordata; Aves; Anseriformes; Anatidae. The record is from RNAcentral.
AUGGCAGUCGUGCUCGCCCGUGGCCGGGCACUCCCAGAGCCGCUGCUCGUGCCCGCCGCAGCUCACCUCGUCCCGCAGGAUGGGCCCCAGGCCCCUGCCGAAGGAGGCGUCGCCGCGGGCGUGCAGGGCCCAGCCGCAGCUCAGCUGCCGGCACACCACCGCGGCGUCGGCCAGGUCCCAGCCGUCGUCGCACACCGUGCCCCAGACGCCCUCCUGCCGCAGCUCCACGCGGCCCUCGCAGCGGCUCUGGCCGCCCGCCAGCCGCAGUGCUGGGGCACCUGUCGGGAUGGAGGGGCGCUGCUGGCACCUCCAGGAGCCCCCACGUGCCGGGAGGGUGCGGUGGUGGCCACCGGCUCGUCCUGGCACCAGUAUGCCCUGGUGGCUCUUACCCGUGCAGGUGACGUGAGCCGGCCCCGCGGCGCAGCAGCCUGGCUCGGUGGCCAAGCGCAGCCAGCACGGCUCCAGCCCCCAGCCGCUGCAGUUGGCCAUGACCACGGGGCAGCCAUCGGUGCUGUCCCCUUCCCCCGGCAGGCUCGGCAGCGUGGCGUCCUCCUCGGUAUCCCCGCAGUGCAGGUGGCGGCAGAGCUCCUGGGAGGCUGCGGCGUGCCAGGACCGCCGGCACACGGGCAGCCAGCGGCCCCCCUGCAGCACCUGCACCGUGCCCUCGCAGCGGUCGCUGCCGCCAGCCAGGCGCAGCACGGCCUCGCCGGGGGGACCUGCGGACGGCAUGGGUGGAGGGCGCCGGAGGGGCCCUGGUUCUGGCUGCCCCCCCCAGGAGACCCGCUCUCACCUGGUUCCACUGAAGCGUUCCCAGCCGCGCCGCUCUUUGCCCUGGUGGGGGCCCCCCUUGGCUCCGCCGGGGCUGUGUGGAGGGGUCAGAGGUUUGGGGCUGAGCUCCGGGAGCCCCCGGCCCUGUCCUCCCACCCCGUGCCCUCGCCCCAGCCGUGUCCCCACCACGGGCACCGGGCAGGAGGCGGCCAGGGAGAUGCAGUUGAAAGACGGCAUGGACGGACGGCUGUGCCGACAGACAGACACACAGCCAGAGCCACCACACCCCUGGCCAUGAUGUGCCCCCACGUCCACCACCGACGUCCCCCAUUCACCCUCAAAGCCACCAGGCUGCCCGAGCCCCAUGUGGGGACACCUGGAGAGGGUGCGAGGGUGUACGCCUCGGCCCCCCAGCGAGUGGAGUCGUGCUGGGGAAGGAUGCACAAAAUGGCACCUAGAGGCUGCCACAAAAUGGGGGCCCGGAGAGGCCCAUGCAGGAAUGUCUCUCGCGCUCCUAAAACCCAACCUCUGCGGCUACACAUCAGCCUCCCGGUGUCGGGGGACACGACCCAGGGCUGCUUUGGGGGAGCUCCCAGCAUAGCCCCCGCUGCCCAGCCAGGCCCAGCCGGGGCUUUUGGUGCUGCCUGGACGUCGCCACUGGGGUGGCUGCAGGCAGAAGGCUGCGAGGGCAAAGCUGCUGCGUGCAAGGCACCGUGCACAUGCUGCUGGCAAAAUCUGUUCCGCCUCCGCUGUAACGGGCUGCAAGCUCGCAGCCUCAGGCCUCGCUCCUCAGCUCAGGAAGAGGAGCAGCUAUUGCAGAGAUGGUUUCUUACAAAAACAAGGGCACUUUUUUGCGGCGCAUCAGCCUGCGGUGGUGGUAAAGCCUGCUUUCACCUUCGCUCAGCGAUACUCCACAGGAAACAACACGCUUCAUUCCCAUCAUCUGCGAAACAACAGUCUUGUGCAAAAAACAGUUUUCCCUGCGAGCUGGGCACGGCUCAGGCUGCUGCUCCACGGGGAACCCAGCCCGUAGCCCCUGGAUGUGGCAGGACGGGGGCAGUGGGAGCCGUCAGCUGGAGCGCGGACACUGACGAUCAGUCACAGAUCAACCGGCAGCAGGGCUGGCAGCUGCUUCUGUCAGCCAUUUCAGGUGUGAAACCACCCUGA